Molecule: long non-coding RNA, 357 nt
Organism: Terrapene triunguis (Three-toed box turtle)
Lineage: Eukaryota; Metazoa; Chordata; Testudines; Emydidae
Exons: 3
Source: RefSeq, a predicted model, not a curated record
UUGAGACAGGGAAUUAAUAAAGUAAACUUGUGGCUUUUUCUAAUUUUCUUUCCAUUUAAUGUCUUGAAUUCAGAAACUUCUCUUUUGGGGCAAGAGGAACUUGUUUAACACUAACUACAAUAAUUUAUCCAAGUUAAAAGGGACUGUUUGGGUACUAGCAGGACACCAGAACAUUCUUGGAAAAGUUUGAAUUUCAGAGUAGUGUCCCAACUGAUCCAGGUGUCUCUCAAAGGCCAGAAGAGCUAACAGGAUCUUGUCAAGGAAAAGAAAGAAAUAUUCCUGGCAUCGCCAACUCUAGAGCCGAGAUGGAAAAAAAAGCAGAUGACAUCACCAUAAGGAGGGAGAAAUGAUCUUCAG